UUAUCUGAACCUUCGGGGAACGAUAACGGCGUCGAGCGGCGGACGGGUGAGUAAUGCCUAGGAAAUUGCCCUGAUGUGGGGGAUAACCAUUGGAAACGAUGGCUAAUACCGCAUAAUGCCUACGGGCCAAAGAGGGGGACCUUCGGGCCUCUCGCGUCAGGAUAUGCCUAGGUGGGAUUAGCUAGUUGGUGAGGUAAUGGCUCACCAAGGCGACGAUCCCUAGCUGGUCUGAGAGGAUGAUCAGCCACACUGGAACUGAGACACGGUCCAGACUCCUACGGGAGGCAGCAGUGGGGAAUAUUGCACAAUGGGCGCAAGCCUGAUGCAGCCAUGCCGCGUGUGUGAAGAAGGCCUUCGGGUUGUAAAGCACUUUCAGUCGUGAGGAAGGUNGUGUAGUUAAUAGCUGCAUUANUUGACGUUAGCGACAGAAGAAGCACCGGCUAACUCCGUGCCAGCAGCCGCGGUAAUACGGAGGGUGCGAGCGUUAAUCGGAAUUACUGGGCGUAAAGCGCAUGCAGGUGGUUUGUUAAGUCAGAUGUGAAAGCCCGGGGCUCAACCUCGGAAUAGCAUUUGAAACUGGCAGACUAGAGUACUGUAGAGGGGGGUAGAAUUUCAGGUGUAGCGGUGAAAUGCGUAGAGAUCUGAAGGAAUACCGGUGGCGAAGGCGGCCCCCUGGACAGAUACUGACACUCAGAUGCGAAAGCGUGGGGAGCAAACAGGAUUAG
RNAcentral lists this ribosomal RNA (725 nucleotides) under bacterium Ss76. RNAcentral's name for it is "bacterial SSU rRNA". It matches the Rfam family "Bacterial small subunit ribosomal RNA", at positions 71 to 781 of the family's 1533-position model. The record is from RNAcentral.